AAGGAUUUUCUUACUUUUUUUAUUUUUAAUUUAUUUGGAGAAAUAACUUUAUAUUUAGUAAUAUUUUGAAUAAUGGUUUUUAGUAAUAGUUUAUUAGUACCGUGAGGUAAUUGAUGAAAUAUUUUGAAAUAUUUAUUUUUGUUUAAGUAUAUUUCGUUAAUAGUACCUUUUGUAUCAGGGUUGAUUUAUUCUACUUAAUUUAU
Molecule: ribosomal RNA, 203 nt
Filed under: Calopteryx aequabilis
Lineage: Eukaryota; Metazoa; Arthropoda; Insecta; Odonata; Calopterygidae
Description: partial large subunit ribosomal RNA
Source: RNAcentral